GGGAACGUUAGCGUCUUGGGAUAAUUUGCACCAGAUUCCUAAUCUGGGGGUCACAGGUUCAAAUCCUGUCGUCCUCACCA
RNAcentral lists this transfer RNA (80 nucleotides) under Flavobacteriaceae bacterium. RNAcentral's name for it is "tRNA-Arg". It matches the Rfam family "tRNA". Rfam says of the family: Transfer RNA (tRNA) molecules are approximately 80 nucleotides in length. Their secondary structure includes four short double-helical elements and three loops (D, anti-codon, and T loops). Lineage: Bacteria; Pseudomonadati; Bacteroidota; Flavobacteriia; Flavobacteriales; Flavobacteriaceae. The record is from RNAcentral.